CGGAUGAUUGGGCCUCGUAGAAGAAAACCCGGAAGCGAUUGCGAUAUUGUGUUUAUGUUGGUGUAGUUUUACACUGUGUGUGAGCCGUUAAAAGUGAAUUAUAGAAAUAAAGUACUGUCAGUAAUCAAUCCAUCCGACCCCUCCGUCCUGUUCCUUUCCACUCACGAACACAUUACACUGAUUUAACCAAAAAGCAGCCAUUACCUCCAGGUGCCCUCCAUUAGUGAAGAGUGAAGUCCGAGGUAGAGCAAACAGUUGGACUCUCUUCACCAUGAUGAAAGAAAGAUCCCCCUCUCUACGUUGUGAAUGAACCAGACACCAUACAACAUUCCCUCAAAGAUGAUGAUGAUCUAAAAAUCUUCAGUCUAAACAGCUUUUUGGACUCUCAUUCUGAUGAUGGCACCCAUUCACUGAAGAAGAUCCAUUGGUGAGUGAGUGAUGUAAGAAAAAUUUUUUCCAAAUCUGUUCUGAUGAAGAAUCAAACUCAUUUACAUCUGAAUGGCCAUUGAGGGCAAGUCAUUUUUCAGCAAAUUUUCAUUUUGGGUGAACUAAUGCUUUAAAUAUGGUGGUUUUCAAAUAAAAGCCCUCAAAAGAAAAAGACAAAUCCUUCUCAGAAAGCUUGCAUUGCAUUUUUGCUAAUGACAUGCAUGGCACAUCUAUUAGAAGGGUGAAUGGGAAAGAAAACAUUAUUUGCACAGCGUUUCUAUGCUUUAUUUGGUUUGCUGGCUGUUUGCAUUCGAAGUCUGUUUCUCAUACCGCCCGUGGUGUUGUAGCGGGACCCCAGAGAAUCUGACGGCAGUCACAUGAGCAGCUUCUCUCCUCCCUGGAGGUCCAAUUACUGCUGGCUUUAGAGCAGUGGUCAGGCUGGAGAGAGGCUGAGUGCUCCGGGUCUGCUGCAGCUCUGAUUAGUCAAAGACUGCCCGAGAAUUAGAACAUGAUCUAG
This is a long non-coding RNA of Carassius gibelio (silver crucian carp), 943 nucleotides long. RefSeq lists it as uncharacterized. The transcript has 4 exons. Lineage: Eukaryota; Metazoa; Chordata; Actinopteri; Cypriniformes; Cyprinidae. The record is from RefSeq and is a predicted model, not a curated record.